GACGAACGCUGGCGGCGUGCCUAAUACAUGCAAGUAGAACGCUGAAGAGAGGAGCUUCCUCUUCUUGGAUGAGUUGCGAACGGGUGAGUAACGCGUAGGUAACCUGCCUUGUAGCGGGGGAUAACUAUUGGAAACGAUAGCUAAUACCGCAUAACAAUGGAUGACACAUGUCAUUUAUUUGAAAGGGGCAAUUGCUCCACUACAAGAUGGACCUGCGUUGUAUUAGCUAGUAGGUGAGGUAAUGGCUCACCUAGGCGACGAUACAUAGCCGACCUGAGAGGGUGAUCGGCCACACUGGGACUGAGACACGGCCCAGACUCCUACGGGAGGCAGCAGUAGGGAAUCUUCGGCAAUGGGGGCAACCCUGACCGAGCAACGCCGCGUGAGUGAAGAAGGGUUUCGGAUCGUAAAGCUCCGUUGUAAGUCAAGAACGGGUGUGAGAGUGGAAAGUUCACACUGUGACGGUAGCUUACCAGAAAGGGACGGCUAACUACGUG
This 497-nucleotide ribosomal RNA is filed under the name uncultured bacterium. RNAcentral's name for it is "partial 16S ribosomal RNA". It matches the Rfam family "Bacterial small subunit ribosomal RNA", at positions 28 to 507 of the family's 1533-position model. The record is from RNAcentral.